RNAcentral lists this long non-coding RNA (1636 nucleotides) under Linum usitatissimum (flax). RNAcentral's name for it is "long non-coding RNA (LUSI_LNC006200)". The record is from RNAcentral. Lineage: Eukaryota; Viridiplantae; Streptophyta; Magnoliopsida; Malpighiales; Linaceae.
UAUCCACUGAGAAGCAUUCACUGCCGUUUAAUAGUUUUGGUAAGACAUUUACAGGGUGUCUUGGUUGAGAAUUUGGUAAGCAAAUUGAUGUUGUUGUCAUGACAUGUCCACAGUUUUUUUUAACUUUCUUUGCAUUCUUUUCCAAUUUAACAUUCUGUAUAGCUUUAUGAGAUGAUUGAUCCUCAAGGGUUCUACCAUGUAUUGCCCAGCAUAAGCUUUUCUACCUGCUGAGCCGUUAAUGGUUGGUAACAUAUGAAGAAAUGCUUUGCUGGAAUAGGUUGAAAAUGGAACUGUGAUUGGAAACUGGACUGAACACUUUUAGCUAGUUCUCCUAGAAAGUGACCAAGUUGUUCCCUCCAAGUAAACCAAACGAAGCAUACAGGCAGGAAGCGAAAAGUGCUGAAGAUAUGAAAGGUAAAGUAUGAAUGCUCAUAACCUUUAUGAACUGUAAAGCGUUUCUCUCUUAACAUACUUCUAAUGAUCAGAAAAGUUUUAUAUAGCCUUGGAGGAAUUGCAGAAGCUGAAAAGGGACAGUAGGGACCAGAAACCAUAAGCAUAUUUGGGUGAAAAGAAAGUAGGGUGGGAGAGAGACCCAUACCAGAAUAUUAAUUGAUAUACAUAUUUAAGGCAGAACUGUGGGAAUUCAGUUUCUGCUCUUACAUGGCAUCCAUCAACAGAAAAGCUCAUCACAUUUACCUCUCAUUGUCCCCCCUUACUAACCCUUUCAAUUUAAUGACUUCUAAUCUCACAGAAUUUCCUCUUCCUAUCCUACAGCUCACAAUGCAGCAAGUACUACAAAAAGUAUCUCUCUUCUGUACAACCCUCCUCUUUGCCUUGUACGACAUCUGAUCAAAGCCUCUGGAAAGACCAGCAGAGAGAGAGAGAGAGAGAGAGAGAAAUGGUUUGGCAUUUGCUGUCCUUCAGUUAUGGAGAGGAUUUGGCCCAGUUGGGACUAGCCUGUUUUCAGCAACAAAACUUGAUGCUGUGCCUUGUUUCUCAUCCCGUGUUCGAAAUGCAGCCAGUGAAGCAUAAUGGUGAAUUUGCUGCUUUUGCAUGUGAAUGACAUAAUUGCGAAUUCUCCUUGUACGGCUGCUCCUGAGAUUGGCUGAUGUGGACUGAGCUCCAGGCAGAAGUAAGAAUAGGAACACUAGUGCCAACAGAAUGUUCUGGCUGAAGACAGCCAUGGAAAGUAGUGUAUGUUUGGAUGUAAAGAAGAAGAAGAAGAAGAUGAGGAUGUUUCAAAUUUUCGCUACAGAAUCAAGAAAAGAUGCCUACUAUUUGAAUAGCAGUAGUGUUAUGCUGUAUUACUUACGUGCCUUUGUGUCGAGGAAACAUGAGUUGAUGAGUGAAAGAUGAGAGGAGCUACACAGAAGAGAAGUAACAAGUGAGAUAGAUAGAAAGAUAAAAUAGAGGGAUAUAUAGAGUUGGUGGUAAUUGUUUCUCUUUGGAAAGAGUUUUUUUGAAAUUUUGGUUUGUUGUUUAAUUGUUUUGAGAAGAGGGUAAUAGUUGUAAAGGUGCAGGUGCACUGGGAGGACUUGGAAGUAAGCAUUUACUUUUACACGGUCGAAGAAAGUAAGCACUGGCUCCUACCUCAUUUGUCCUUCCAAGGAAAUUCCAUUUGGAUUUUCCCUUGGAC